GAUGAAGAACGUAGCGAAAUGCGAUAAGUAGUGUGAAUUGCAGAAUUCAGUGAAUCAUCGAAUCUUUGAACGCACAUUGCGCCCCUUGGUAUCCCGAGGGGCAUGCCUGUUCGAGCGUCAUUUCACCGCUCAAGCCUGGCUUGGUGUUGGGCGACGUCCCCUUUGGGGACGCGCCUCGAAACGCUCGGCGGCGUGGCACCGGCUUUAAGCGUAGCAGAAUCUUUCGCUUUGGAAGUCGGGGCCCCGUCUGCCGGAAGACCUACUCGCAAGGUUGACCUCGGAUCAGGCAGGGAUACCCGCUGAACUUAAGCAUAUCAAUAAGCGGAGGA
This 329-nucleotide unclassified non-coding RNA is filed under the name soil metagenome. Its description in RNAcentral is "partial contains 5.8S ribosomal RNA, internal transcribed spacer 2, and large subunit ribosomal RNA". The stretch from base 1 to 120 matches the Rfam family "5.8S ribosomal RNA", at positions 35 to 154 of the family's 154-position model. The record is from RNAcentral.